GGCGGGUCCGCUGCACCGCAGCGAGCUGCACCAACCUUGCCGCGGACACGCGCGUGAACACACCAGACGGCCGCAGCAGAGCGCGGCGGCGAGGGCGUCCCGGGCCGGUGAGCAGCAGCAGAGGGGGAGGCGGCGGCUGCCCCGCCCACCGGGCCGCGCGCCCCGCCCACGCGCGCGGGGAGGAGCCCGAGCCGAGUUGGGAGGAGAGGUGGGGCGGUCCCGGAGCGCAGAGAGACCGACUCCCUGGCUGCGGCGGCGGUGGCGCCGGGGAGCCGUGGUUCCUGUAAAACUUUGAGCAACUGGAAAUCAGCUGGAGGGAUCUGCCGAGGCCUGUGGUCUCGUGGUCCUGCGCGGGCGUGGCUGUGCACAAACAAGAGGAAUGCUGGUCACCCUGCUGCACCGUUGCUUGGCACUUCAGACCAUGGAUGUAAAUUACCACUGGAUUCCAGCCCUUCUCCAGGGAAGCAGGCCACUCUAGAACAGUGGGAUUAAAUCUACUCAUGUCAAGCAGUCACUUUCAAAUAAGGAGGUUCCCCCACUUUUUAGAACAAAAAAUGUAUAUGUCAGCAAGGCCAUUUUUCAGUAAAU
RNAcentral lists this long non-coding RNA (588 nucleotides) under Cricetulus griseus (Chinese hamster). RNAcentral's name for it is "lncRNA (ENSCGRG00015037598.1)". Lineage: Eukaryota; Metazoa; Chordata; Mammalia; Rodentia; Cricetidae. The record is from RNAcentral.